UUCUGCAUUCCGAUUAGCCAAAAACGUCCUAAGGGUUUCUUCAAGCUGGUUUUUCAUAAUUUUUGCACCAAUGUUAAGGGCUCGGAGGUCGGAUUUGGUCGGAGACGCAUCACACUAUCAACCUCAAAUUCUCGGUAUAUAAAGAAACUUUAUUUUAGAAAUCAAUGGCAUGUAUAAGUUAGUAAAGUAGAUGUUAAUGUGAAAUGAAUGUAUGGUUAGCCAUUGGUAUGGCUAACAAAUUUUGGUUUUGGCAUGUGAUGAGAUUAUCUUAAGAAUACAAUAAAUCUAUCUUGAAAAUA
Gossypium raimondii (Peruvian cotton) is the source of this 299-nucleotide long non-coding RNA. RefSeq lists it as uncharacterized. The transcript has 2 exons. The record is from RefSeq and is a predicted model, not a curated record. Lineage: Eukaryota; Viridiplantae; Streptophyta; Magnoliopsida; Malvales; Malvaceae.